AUGAUAAAUUAAGUCUAGGCCUCC
Molecule: non-coding RNA, 24 nt
Filed under: Arabidopsis thaliana (thale cress)
Lineage: Eukaryota; Viridiplantae; Streptophyta; Magnoliopsida; Brassicales; Brassicaceae
Source: RNAcentral